UACGGAGGGUGCGAGCGUUAAUCGGAAUUACUGGGCGUAAAGCGCGCGUAGGCGGUUUGUUAAGUCGGAUGUGAAAGCCCCGGGCUCAACCUGGGAACUGCACCCGAUACUGGCCGACUUGAGUGCGAGAGAGGGAGGUAGAAUUCCAUGUGUAGCGGUGAAAUGCGUAGAUAUAUGGAGGAAUACCGGUGGCGAAGGCGGCCUCCUGGCUCGACACUGACGCUGAGGUGCGAAAGCGUGGGUAGCAAACAGU
RNAcentral lists this ribosomal RNA (253 nucleotides) under uncultured bacterium. RNAcentral's name for it is "partial 16S ribosomal RNA". It matches the Rfam family "Bacterial small subunit ribosomal RNA", at positions 524 to 776 of the family's 1533-position model. The record is from RNAcentral.